This 610-nucleotide ribosomal RNA is filed under the name Bacillus sp. (in: firmicutes). RNAcentral's name for it is "bacterial SSU rRNA". It matches the Rfam family "Bacterial small subunit ribosomal RNA", at positions 57 to 648 of the family's 1533-position model. Lineage: Bacteria; Bacillati; Bacillota; Bacilli; Caryophanales; Bacillaceae. The record is from RNAcentral.
GCAGUCGAGCGAAUGGAUUAAGAGCUUGCUCUUAUGAAGUUAGCGGCGGACGGGUGAGUAACACGUGGGUAACCUGCCCAUAAGACUGGGAUAACUCCGGGAAACCGGGGCUAAUACCGGAUAACAUUUUGAACCGCAUGGUUCGAAAUUGAAAGGCGGCUUCGGCUGUCACUUAUGGAUGGACCCGCGUCGCAUUAGCUAGUUGGUGAGGUAACGGCUCACCAAGGCAACGAUGCGUAGCCGACCUGAGAGGGUGAUCGGCCACACUGGGACUGAGACACGGCCCAGACUCCUACGGGAGGCAGCAGUAGGGAAUCUUCCGCAAUGGACGAAAGUCUGACGGAGCAACGCCGCGUGAGUGAUGAAGGCUUUCGGGUCGUAAAACUCUGUUGUUAGGGAAGAACAAGUGCUAGUUGAAUAAGCUGGCACCUUGACGGUACCUAACCAGAAAGCCACGGCUAACUACGUGCCAGCAGCCGCGGUAAUACGUAGGUGGCAAGCGUUAUCCGGAAUUAUUGGGCGUAAAGCGCGCGCAGGUGGUUUCUUAAGUCUGAUGUGAAAGCCCACGGCUCAACCGUGGAGGGUCAUUGGAAACUGGGAGACUUGAGUG